RNAcentral lists this ribosomal RNA (305 nucleotides) under uncultured bacterium. RNAcentral describes it as "bacterial SSU rRNA". It matches the Rfam family "Bacterial small subunit ribosomal RNA", at positions 333 to 655 of the family's 1533-position model. The record is from RNAcentral.
GUUUGCCUACGGGAGGCAGCAGUGGGGAAUAUUGCACAAUGGGGGAAACCCUGAUGCAGCAACGCCGCGUGAGUGAAGAAGUAUUUCGAUAUGUAAAGCUCUAUCAGCAGGGAAGAAGAUGACGGUACCUGAUUAAGAAGCCCCGGCUAACUACGUGCCAGCAGCCGCGGUAAUACGUAGGGGGCAAGCGUUAUCCGGAAUGAUUGGGCGUAAAGGGUGCGCAGGCGGUCCUGCAAGUCUGGAGUGAAACGCAUGAGCUCAACUCAUGCAUGGCUUUGGCAACUGGAGGACUGGAGAGCAGGAGA